GCAGUAGCCGCGGGAAUACGUAGGUGGCAAGCGUUGUCCGGAAUUAUUGGGCGUAAAGCGCGCGCAGGUGGUUUUUUAAGUCUGGUGUCCAAGUGCGGGGCUCAACCCCGUGACGCACUGGAAACUGGGAGACUUGAGUGCAGAAGAGGAGAGCGGAAUUCCACGUGUAGCGGUGAAAUGCGUAGAGAUGUGGAGGAACACCAGUGGCGAAGGCGGCUCUCUGGACUGUAACUGACGCUGAGGCGCGAAAGCGUGGGGAGCAAACAGGAUUAGAUACCCCUGUAGUCCCUGUCUCUUAUACA
This 302-nucleotide ribosomal RNA is filed under the name uncultured bacterium. Its description in RNAcentral is "partial 16S ribosomal RNA". It matches the Rfam family "Bacterial small subunit ribosomal RNA", at positions 508 to 808 of the family's 1533-position model. The record is from RNAcentral.